Non-coding RNA from Nicotiana sylvestris (wood tobacco), 131 nucleotides. Lineage: Eukaryota; Viridiplantae; Streptophyta; Magnoliopsida; Solanales; Solanaceae. The record is from Rfam.
AAUUACAAUAUAUGAAACUUGGGUUGAGGGUCAAGUUGGUAGUUUUCUUGCAUCCCCCGCUUGCAGUGCUCGGGUAUCAUAUGUGAUCCCAAAUUAAAGACUCUUUAGUAUUAGAUAAAAAGCACCUAAAU